GGCUUGGUGGUCUAGUGGUAUGAUUCUCGCUUAGGGCUCACCCUACAGCUGCAAACUGAAAGUUGCGAGAGGUCCCGGGUUCAAUCCCCGGCCAAGCCC
Molecule: non-coding RNA, 99 nt
Organism: Chaetomidium leptoderma
Lineage: Eukaryota; Fungi; Ascomycota; Sordariomycetes; Sordariales; Chaetomiaceae
Source: the annotation of a GenBank genome assembly